GCCAUACCUUUAAGUUAUAAUAAAAUCUAGACUGAUGGAGCCUCCAGAACAAAUCUAAGUGUAGGACUCUCACACAAUUCCAUAAUAACUUUCCAGAUUUACUUUUAUAAAAUUGGAUCUUUUUUUGUUUUCCCCUUGUG
Molecule: long non-coding RNA, 140 nt
Organism: Perognathus longimembris pacificus (Pacific pocket mouse)
Lineage: Eukaryota; Metazoa; Chordata; Mammalia; Rodentia; Heteromyidae
Exons: 3
Source: RefSeq, a predicted model, not a curated record